Molecule: small nucleolar RNA, 140 nt
Filed under: Dipodomys ordii (Ord's kangaroo rat)
Lineage: Eukaryota; Metazoa; Chordata; Mammalia; Rodentia; Heteromyidae
Description: Small nucleolar RNA SNORA51 (ENSDORG00000022945.2)
Source: RNAcentral
GACUUCCUGGUGCCUGCCACAGGCUAUGUUCUUACACUGAACCGAAAGAGGAGGCAGAGUAAACUUACCCCACAGAGUGUACCUACACUACAGCCCAGGCCCUGUGCAGAUUCUACCAUUUCAUAUCCAAGGAAAUAUUU